This 471-nucleotide ribosomal RNA is filed under the name uncultured archaeon. Its description in RNAcentral is "bacterial SSU rRNA". It matches the Rfam family "Archaeal small subunit ribosomal RNA", at positions 1 to 471 of the family's 1478-position model. The record is from RNAcentral.
UUCCGGUUGAUCCUGCCGGAGGCCACUGCUAUCGGAGUCCGAUUUAGCCAUGCUAGUCCACCGAUUCGUUCGGGGCAGAUAGCUGAGUAACACGUGGCCAACCUGCCCUGCGGAGGGGAAUAACCUCGCUAACGUGAGGCUAAUACCCCAUAGCAGAGUUCACCUGGAACAAGAGAACUCUGUGAAAUGUUCCGACGCCGCAGGAUGGGGCCGCGGCUGAUUAGGUCGUUGGUGAGGUAACGGCUCACCAAGCCGAUAAUCAGUAGCAGCCGUGAGAGCGGGAGCUGCCAGUCGGCUUCUGAGACAAGAAGCCGGGCCCUACGGGGCGCAGCAGGCACGGAACCUUCACAAUGCACGCAAGUGCGAUGGGGGGACUCCGAGUGCGUUCUUCCCACAAGGAAGGACGCUUUUCUGCACUUUAAGACGGUGCAGGAACAAGGGGUGGGUAAGACUGCUGCCAGCCGCCGCGGU